This is a long non-coding RNA of Maniola jurtina (meadow brown), 456 nucleotides long. RefSeq lists it as uncharacterized. NCBI's taxonomy places the organism in Eukaryota, Metazoa, Arthropoda, Insecta, Lepidoptera, Nymphalidae. The record is from RefSeq and is a predicted model, not a curated record. The transcript is spliced from 3 exons.
UUAAACCUAGUGGAACAUCAUUUUGUUUCUUGUAUUAUAUGUGUGUGCUAAAUUAUUGUUUUAGAGCGAAGAACUAUAAAGGGUGACGAAAAAAACGUAAAAUUAUUGUAUGGGUAAAGAUGGCGAAGGAGAUAUUAAAACAGGUCCUAAUAACAUACCAGGGCAUACCUAUAGGAAUACUUAGGAGACGCCGCAACAGCUGUUGUGUGUAUUUGUGGGUGCUUGUGGAUUAGAAAAUACGAGUAUCUCUGAGAUGUGGUGAGAAGAACAAAGUCAUCUCAUCUAAAGAAAGAAACAGCUGAUAAUAUAGUCGCGAUUGAAUUUUUUUCAAGCAUUUAUAGCAAAACGACAAAAAAUCGACUAGUGCUUAGUCAAAAGUGCAACUAAGGAUAAGACUUGCCUUAAAUACAAAACUGUUGAAAUCCUUGCUCAUACAGAAAGCAUUAUACUUUAAAA